Molecule: long non-coding RNA, 2469 nt
Filed under: Triticum aestivum (bread wheat)
Lineage: Eukaryota; Viridiplantae; Streptophyta; Magnoliopsida; Poales; Poaceae
Description: long non-coding RNA (TAES_LNC009152)
Source: RNAcentral
ACAAAGCCCAAGUCCAAAAUCAAAAAUAUCAAGAUGUAUUGACAGUUAUUGAACUUGCAAGAUAUAUUCUUUAAGCUUGAUUUGUCCAAAACCAUCUUAAACUUUCAUAAAUCGGAAAAGGUGGGUGGAUUUCCUCCGAUGAUAAAUAAAGAAUGGAAAAAUAUGUAAUGAUAAUUUUGUAUCCCUGGUUACUUCCAAACACUAAAUUAAGAACUGAGACACGUCAUUACCAAGUAUUUUACAAGAUCCAUGAUUAUUUCAUCAUACAGUAAAAUAGCAAUGGAGACAACAACUAAUGAGUAAUGACCAAGGGUCUUUCCAAAACAACCUGCAUCCGAAUAAAUCAUCAACACUAACCAAGGGCCUGAAGCUGCUCGCUGAUUUUCUCCUAUUGGCUCUGCAGCAUGAUUCAGUUAAAACGGACGUUUAGUUCAAAUCCACCAAAAUCCCAAAAGAAAUGCAAAACAUUUUAGUGCAUAUGGUAGACAAAAAAUGCAGUUUCGGCAAUGAAACUACCUUUGCAGGCUUGACGUUUCCUUGCGCGGGGCGGUGGUGAUGCGCGCCACCUUGUUCACCUUGCCGGUCAUCAUGUCCAAUAAACCUAAGAAGGUGGACCAUGUUCAGCAUCUUUUUUGUACUGUGAAAAAUAAUAAUAUGUAUGCUUGUCAAUUAGAGGCCGACAACAACACUUUCUAUUGACUUCAAUAUUUGAAAAUUUAUUUUCUUCCCAUGGGACAUUUUUUGUAUGAAACAGUAUUAGAGAAAUUUAGUUAAACAGACAUUAAUUAUGCUCAUAUCCACCAAAAUCCCAAGGGCAUGCAAAACAUUUGAGUGCAUAUGGUAGAAAAAAAAUACAGUUUUGGCGGCGAAACUACUUUUGCGGGCUUGGCCAGUCCUUGUGCAUGGCGGUGGUCAUGAGCUCCACCGGCUUCGCCUUGCUGGUAAUCGUGCUCAAUAAACCUGGGAGCAAGAAGAUUGAACAUGUUCAUCAUUUUUUGUAGUGUCCAAAAUAAUAAUAUGUAUACUUAUCAAUUAGAGGUCGACAACAACACUUUCUAUUCACAUUUUAAAGUUUAUUUUCUUCCUUAGUAAGAACAAAAAUCAUGCUAGGAAAACAAAUUUUACUCAAUGAUUAGUUUAACUGUUGAGCAAAUAGUUACAGGUUCAGCUGACACCUUUGUGUUUUUGUUACUGAUUUGUAGCUCCUCUCUUUUUCUCUUCUUUGUAGGCUGAGAGUAUAUCCAACCUUUGAUAAAGUUUUGAACGUUGAAAGUUCUGAAUCUAUAUGUUAGAUUUAUUUAGCUUUUUUCUAGGCUGAGAGUAUAUCCACACCCUUUUAAGGCAGUCAAUGGACAGAAAAUUAGUAGAAGAACGGUAGAUAUGGUGUGUUUCAGGAUAUAACUGUAACCGCAAAUGGGGUUUCUUUGAUUCUGAAAGUAUGCAUUGCAAAUGCUCUUGUCAGAAGCAACUCGCUGAGAACCUGUAAUAUUUGUUGCAACAACAGCGACCACAGCGUGGAGCAGAGGAAGAAUAGCCCAGCAAUUGCAUGACCUGCAAACCAAAAAUUAGGACCAAAUUAGAGAGUUCUAUAGGACUUCAAUGGAUGGGAAAUUUCAGGAGAAUCCUUCAAUGUUCAUAAGAAUCCCAAGAAAUAAAACAUAUAGGCUAGUAUCACAUGGAGGCCCAUGCCACAUGACGCCGGAAGCGGGAGGAACGUGCCUCCUUCACGCAUGAACCCUCCGCCGCGCAGCCGCCACGGCACUGUUGCGUGCCCGCGCCAUAAGGCCUGCCACAUGCAGCUUCGCCGCCGAGCCCCUCACACACGUCUCCUCCUCUAUUCUCUCUGUUCUAUUUCUCUUCUGGAGCAGAUUCAUUUAUCUCCCCAUGAUCCAAUCACACUAUCAAAGGUCCUGAUUAUACCACACUCGGUCAAUUACUUUUCACUUUUCUCUCAAGUUUCUCACAUCUCUACUCUGCUUCUCUGAGUCCAAUUGUUUUGGCUGAACAAUUCUUCAGUUAACCUCUACAGUACACAGCUUGUUUCUAUGGACGCCGGGCCAAUAAUUAAUACCUUUUGUUUCGAUUUAAAAUUAUCCAUUAAGACGAAUAUACAGAACAGAAUCAUACAGACACAUAUUAACAGAAAACACAUCUAGGAGUAGAUGGAACUUUAUCUGAAGCCACACAACGCUGACUUCAAUUCAGCCUAGGCAAUCUAACGAAAACUCAGAGAGAUGCCCGUCCAGGUUCCAGGAACUUGGAGGGUUAUACAAGUUGCAGCCAAAUUGGCUUCCAAUUGAAGCAGGAAAGUAGGGAAUACACACACACACAAAAAAUCGAUCUACAUCGCUCGCUAUGGAGGUUCAAGGAUGCGGCUUAGUGAUGAACCUGGUCGCGGCGUCUCCACCUCCGGGUCGCCCAUGUGGCGAGCAGCCCCGACGUAGGCAGGCAGGCACUGUGCUCGCGAUG